CAGCUAGUUGGUGAGGUAACGGCUCACCAAGGCGACGAUCAGUAGCUGGUCUGAGAGGAUGAUCAGCCACAUUGGGACUGAGACACGGCCCAAACUCCUACGGGAGGCAGCAGUGGGGAAUAUUGGACAAUGGGCGCAAGCCUGAUCCAGCCAUGCCGCGUGAGUGAUGAAGGCCCUAGGGUUGUAAAGCUCUUUUGUGCGGGAAGAUAAUGACGGUACCGCAAGAAUAAGCCCCGGCUAACUUCGUGCCAGCAGCCGCGGUAAUACGUAGGGUGCGAGCGUUGUCCGGAAUUAUUGGGCGUAAAGAGCUCGUAGGCGGCUUGUCGCGUCGGAUGUGAAAGCCCGGGGCUUAACUCCGGGUCUGCAUUCGAUACGGGCAGGCUAGAGUGUGGUAGGGGAGAUCGGAAUUCCUGGUGUAGCGGUGAAAUGCGCAGAUAUCAGGAGGAACACCGGUGGCGAAGGCGGAUCUCUGGGCCAUUACUGACGCUGAGGAGCGAAAGCGUGGGGAGCGAACAGGAUUAGAUACCCUGGUAGUCCACGCCGUAAACGUUGGGAACUAGGUGUG
Molecule: ribosomal RNA, 565 nt
Filed under: uncultured Alphaproteobacteria bacterium
Lineage: Bacteria; Pseudomonadati; Pseudomonadota; Alphaproteobacteria
Description: SSU rRNA
Rfam family: Bacterial small subunit ribosomal RNA
Source: RNAcentral